RNAcentral lists this transfer RNA (66 nucleotides) under Cephalochlamys namaquensis. Its description in RNAcentral is "tRNA-Ser". The record is from RNAcentral. Lineage: Eukaryota; Metazoa; Platyhelminthes; Cestoda; Pseudophyllidea; Cephalochlamydidae.
GCUUUUAAUAUAUUAAAUACUUUUGACUUGAAAUCAAAAUGAUUGUCUUUAGUGACAAUAAAAGCU